Molecule: non-coding RNA, 212 nt
Organism: Erinaceus europaeus (western European hedgehog)
Lineage: Eukaryota; Metazoa; Chordata; Mammalia; Eulipotyphla; Erinaceidae
Source: Rfam
AAAACUAUACUUUCAGGGAUCAUUUCUAUAGUUUGUUACUAGAGAAGUUCCUCUGAAUGUGUAGGGCACCCGAAACCAUGAGGAGGAUAUGAAGCAUUCUUUCCUGAGCGUGAAGUUGGCUUUAGGUGUUGCAUUUGCAACUGCCUUUUGCCAUUGAUGAUCGUUCUUGCUCUCUCCUGAGAGUAAGAGGGAGUUUAUGCAUUCUGAGUGGA